RNAcentral lists this ribosomal RNA (468 nucleotides) under uncultured bacterium. RNAcentral describes it as "bacterial SSU rRNA". It matches the Rfam family "Bacterial small subunit ribosomal RNA", at positions 28 to 508 of the family's 1533-position model. The record is from RNAcentral.
GAUGAACGCUGGCGGCGUGCUUAACACAUGCAAGUCGAACGAUUGAAGCUGGAGCUUGCUCCGGCCGAUUUAGUGGCGGACGGGUGAGUAACGCGUGGGUAACCUGCCUCAUACAGGGGGAUAGCAGUUGGAAACGACUGGUAAAACCGCAUAAGCGCACGGUGUCGCAUGACACAGUGUGAAAACACUCCGGUGGUAUGAGAUGGACCCGCGUCUGAUUAGCUAGUUGGUGAGGUAACGGCCCACCAAGGCGACGAUCAGUAGCCGGCCUGAGAGGGUGAACGGCCACAUUGGGACUGAGACACGGCCCAAACUCCUACGGGAGGCAGCAGUGGGGAAUAUUGCACAAUGGGGGAAACCCUGAUGCAGCGACGCCGCGUGAGUGAUGAAGUAUUUCGGUAUGUAAAGCUCUAUCAGCAGGGAAGAUAAUGACGGUACCUGACUAAGAAGCACCGGCUAAAUACGUGC